Molecule: ribosomal RNA, 385 nt
Filed under: uncultured bacterium
Lineage: Bacteria
Description: bacterial SSU rRNA
Rfam family: Bacterial small subunit ribosomal RNA
Source: RNAcentral
GAACGCUGGCGGCGUGCCUAACACAUGCAAGUCGAACGGGGGCCAGGGGCAACUCUGGUUCAGUGGCGGACGGGUGCGUAACACGUGAGGAACAUGACCUUCGGCGGGGGAGUAGCCGGCCCAACCGGCCGGGUAAUACCGCGUACGACCACAUGGGGACGAUCCCUCGAGUGGUGAAAGCAGCAAUGCGCCGAUGGAGUGCCUCGCGGCCUAUCAGCUAGUUGGUGAGGUAACGGCNCACCAAGGCGACGACGGGUAGCUGGUCUGAGAGGAUGGCCAGCCACAUUGGGACUGAGACACGGCCCAGACUCCUACGGGAGGCAGCAGUGGGGAAUAUUGCGCAAUGGACGAAAGUCUGACGCAGCGACGCCGCGUGUGGGAUGAC